AGACCCGGAAGCGGAUCGCGGGGAGUGAAGGCUGCGCCGCCGAGCCUGAGUUUCGCUCUCUCUAGAUUAAAUCUGCGCUUCGCAGUCCCCCUUCUUCCAUCCCCCGGGUCUGGAGGGGUCCCUACAGAUCUUAAAAUGACCACACCGCGCCCUCCACCCCAGGGAAGGUUGACAUUCAGGGACGUGGCCAUCGAAUUCUCUCAGGAGGAGUGGAAAUGCCUGGACCCUGCUCAGAGGGCUUUGUACAGGGACGUGAUGUUGGAGAACUACAGGAACCUGGUCUCCCUGGGAAUCUCUCUUUCUGAAAUGAGUAUUACCUCCAUGUUGGGGCAAGGGAAAGAGCCCUGGACUGUGGAGAGUGAAGUGAAAAUAACAAAAACAUCAAGUGGUUGGGAAUGCAUCAAAGGUGUGAACACAGGUAAGAGCUCAAAUGGACAGAGAGGAAGCUGCACCAUUAGUAUUCAGGUAACUCCUUCCGAGUUGAAGAGUUCUGUGGAACAAAAAGGGUUUAAAUCCUGUGAGCUCUCAAUGGAAACCUUUCUUUGCCCUCAUUUAUCCCUCUGCUCUUCUGACGUGUAGUAGUUUAUCCUUUCACACUCCCAUGGCGCUACAGCUCCAACAGUGACAAAGGCAAAGUCUUUAUCAUGAUGGACAACACCCUGUCAUGUGGCUUCUGUGACCUCUUUGGUUUCUUCACUCUGAGGGGCACAGGGAGGGUUGUGUCCAAGAGGUCUCCUGUGAUCUCUCCUGUACCUGACUGCGUCUGAUGCUCAGUUCUCUGUCUAUACAGAUCAGAGCUGAGGCCUCCAUGGACCUGCCCCCUUGACCUAUUCAGGUUUUGCCCCAUUUCCUGUACUUGGGAGACCUAAUCAGGUGACGGGAAAACAUUGGCAGCUCCUCCUUUGCAUCUGGGGCUCCGGAAACCUCAUGGUGCUGUCUCCAGCCCUGUCUGUCUGUCAAAGUCUUUCAGCCUCAGUCAUUUCUUCUGUUCUGCUUUUGCCACAGAUUGCAGUGUGCGCCACAGGGGAGUACACGGGGUUUUCUGAGAUUGUUUACUCAGGUCUGGAAUGGCACUAGACAGAGAGGUCCUCUUUUUUUUUUUCUUCGAGACAGAGUCUGGCUCUCUUGCCCAGGCUGUGAUGCAGUGGUGAGAUCUCAACUCACUGGAACCUCUGCCUCCCAGGUUCAAGUAAUUCUCUUCCCUCAGCCUCCUGAGUAGCUGGAACUACAGGCACAUGUCACCACACCUGGCUAAUUUUUGUAUUUUUUUAAAAAUUAUUAUACUUUAAGUUUUGGCAUACAUGUGCAGAACGUGCAGGUUUGUUACAUAGGUAUACGUGUGCCAUGGAGGUUUGCUGCACCCAUCAACCCGUCAUCUAUAUUAGGUAUUUCUCCUAAUGCUAUCCCUCCCCUACCUCCCCAUCCCCUCCACAGGCCCUGGUAUGUGAUGUUCCCCCUCCCUGUGUCCAUGUGUUCUCAUUGUUCAACUCCCACUUAUGAGUGAGAACAUGCAGUGUUUGGUUUUCUGUUGUGUUAGUUUGCUGAGAAUGAUGGUUUCCAGCUUCAUCCAUGUCCCUGCAAAGGACAUGGACUUAUCCUUCUUUAUGGCUGCAUAGUAUUCCAUGGUGUAUAUGUGCCAUAUUUUCAUUAUCCAGAAACUAAUAUUUCUGGAUAAUGGGCAUUUGGGUUGGUUCCAAGUCUUUGCUGUUGUGAAUAGUGCCACAAUAAACAUACGUGUGCAUGUGUCUUUGUAGUAGAAUGAUUUAUAAUCCUUUGGGUAUAUACCCAGUAAUGGGAUUGCUGGGUCAAAUGGUAUUUCUAGUUCUACAUCCUUGAGGAAUUGCCACACUGUCUUCCACAAUGGUUAAACUAAUUUACACUCCCACCAACAGUGUAAAAGCAUUCCUAUUUCUCCACAUCCUCUCCAGCAUCUGUUGUUUCCUGACAUUUUAAUGAUCAGCAUUCUAACUGGCAUGAGAUGCUUUCUCAUUGUGGUUUUGAUUUGUGUUUCUCUAAUGACCAGUGAUGAUGAGCUUUUUUUCAUAUGUUUCUUGGCCACAUAAAUGUCUUCUUUUGAGAAGUGUCUGUUCAUAUCCUUCGCAUAGAUGUUCAUGAGGGAUAUUGGCCUGAAAUUUUCUUUUUUUGUUGUGUGUCUGCCAGGUUUUGGUAUCAGGAUGAUGCUGGCCUCAUUAAAAUGAAUUAGGGAGGAUUCCCUCUUUUUCUGUUUGGAAUAGUUUCAGAAGGAAUGGUACCAGCUCCUCUUUGUACCUCUGGUAGAAUUCGGCUGUGAAUCUGUCUGGUCCUGGACUUUUUUUGGUUGGUAGGCUAUUAAUUACCGCCUCAAUUUCAGAACUUGUUAUUGGUCUAUUCAGGGAUUCGACUUCUUCCUGGUUUAGUCUUGGGAGGGUGUAUGUAUCCAGGAAUUUAUCCAUUUCUUCUGGAUUUUCUAGUUUAUUUGUGUAGAGGUGUUUAUAGUAUUCUCUGAUGGUAGUUUGUAUUUCUGUGGGAUUGGUGGUGAUAUCCCCUUUAUAAUUUUUAUUGCAUCUAUUUGAUUCUUCUCUCUUUUCUUCUGUAUUAGUCUGGCUAGUGGUCUAUCUAUUUUGUUGAUCUUUUCAGAAAACCAGCUUCUGGAUUCGUCUAUUUUUUGAUGGAUUUUUCGUGCCUCUAUCUCCUUCACUUCUGCGCUGAUCUUAGUUACUUCUUGUCUUCUGCUAGCUUUUGAAUUUAUUUGCUCUUGCUUCUCUAGUUCUUUUAAUUGUGAUGUUAGGGUGUUGAUUUUAGAUCUUUCACGCUUUCUCUUGUGGGCAGUUAGUGCUAUAAAUUUCCCUCUACACAUUGCUUUUAAUGUGUCCCAGAGAUUCUGGUAUGUUGUGUCUUUGUUCUCAUUGGUUUCAAAGACUGCCUUCAUUUCAUUAUUUACCCAGUAGUCAUUCAGGAGAAGGUUGUUCAGUUUCCAUGUAGUUGUGCAGUUUUGAAUGAGUUUCUUAAUCCUGAGUUCUAAUUUGAUUGCACUGUGGUCUGAGAGACGGUUUGUUAUGAUUUCCAUUCUUUUGCAUUUGCUGAGAAGUGUUUUACUUCCAAUUAUGUGGUCAAUUUUAGAAUAAGUGCGAUGUGGUGCUGAGAAGAAUGUAUAUUCUGUUGAUUUGGGGUGGAGAGUUCUGUAGAUGUCUAUUAGGCCUGCUUGGUCCAGAGUUGAGUUCAAGUCCUGGAUAUCCUUGUUAGUUUUCUGUCUCAUUGAUCUGUUUAAUAUUGACAGUGGGGUGUUAAAGUCUCCCACUAUUAUUGUGUGGGAGUCUAAGUCUCUUUGUAGGUCUCCAAGAACUUGCUUUAUGAAUGUGGGUGCUCCUGUAUUGGGUGCAUAUAUAUUUAGUAUAGUUAGCUCUUCUGGUUGCAUUGAUCCUUUACCAUCAUGUAAUGCCCCUCUUUGUCUCUUUUGAUCUUUGUUGGUUUAAAGUCUGUUCUAUCAGAGACUAGGAUUGCAACCCCUGCUUUUUUUGCUUUCCAUUUGCUUGGUAGAUAUUCCUCCAUCCCUUUAUUUUGAGUAUAUGUGUGUCUUUGCAUGUGAGAUGGGUCUCCUGAAUACAGCACACCGAUGGGUCUUGACUCUUUAUCCAAUUUGCCAGUCUGUGUCUUUUAAUUGGGGCAUUUAGCCCAUUUACAUUUAAGGUUAAUAUUGUUACGUGUGAAUUUGAUCCUGUCAUUAUGAUGCUAGCUGGUUAUUUUGCUCAUUAGUUGAUGCAGUUUCUUCAUAGUGUCGAUGGUCUUUACAAUAUGGUAUGUUUUUGCAGUGGCUGGUACCAGUUGUUCCUUUCCAUGUUUAGUGCUUCCUUCCUUAUAAGGCAGGCCUGGUGGUGACAAAAUAUCUCAGCAUUAGCUUGUCUGUAAAGGAUUUGAUUUCUCCUUCACUUAUGAAGCUUAGUUUGGCUGGAUAUGAAACUCUGGGCUGAAAAUUCUUUUCUUUAAGAAUGUUGAAUAUUGGCCCCCACCCUCUUCUGGCUUGUAGAGUUUCUGCCAAGAGAUCUGCUGUUAGUCUUAGGGCUUCCCUUUGUGGGUAACCUGACCUUUCUCUCUGGCUGCCAUUAACAUUUUUUCCUUCAUUUCAACCUUGGUGAAUCUGACGAUUAUGUAUCUUGGGGUUGCUCUCCUUGAGGAGUAUCUUUGUGGUGUUGUCUGUAUUUCCUGAAUUUGAAUGUUGGCCUGUCUUGCUAGGUUGGAUAAGUUCUCCUAUAAUAAUAUCCUGAAGGGUAUUUUCCAACUUGGUUCCAUUCUCCCCAUCACUUUCAGGUACACCAAUCAAAUGUAGAUUUGGUCUUUUCACACAGUCCCAUAUAUCUUGGAGGCUUUGUUCAUUUCUUUUCACUCUUUCUUCUCUAAUCUUGUCUUCUCACUUUAUUUCAUUAAGUUGAUCUUCAAUCUCUGAUAUCCUUUCUGCUGCUUGAUCAAUUCAGUUAUUGAUACUUAUGUAUGCCUCAUGGAGUUCUCAUGCUGCGUUUUUCAGCUCCAUCAGGUCAUUUAUGUUCUUCUCUAAAGUGGUUAUUCUAGUUAGCAAUUCAUUUAACCUUUUUUCAAGGUUCUUUUCUUCCUUGCAUUGGGUUAGAACAUGCUCCUUUAGCUCAGAGGAGUUUGUUAUUACCCACCUUCUGAGGCCUACUUCUGUCAAUUCGUCAAACUCAUUCUCCUAGUUUUGUUCCCUUGCUGGUGAGGAGUUGUGAUUCUUUGGAACAGAAGAGGCAUUCUGGUUCUUUUUGUGCUGGUUUCUCCCCAUCUUUGUGGAUUUAUCUACCUUUGGUCUUUGAUAUUGGUGACCUUCAGAUGGGGUCUCUGAGUGGAUGUCCUUUUAGUUGAUGUUGAUACUAUUCCUGUUUGUUAGUUUUCCUUCUAACAGUCAGGCCCCUCUGCUCCACGUCUGCUGGAGUUUGCUGGGGGUCUACUCCAGACCCUGUUUGCCUGGGUAUCACCAGCAGAGACUGCAGAACAGCAAAGAUUGCUGCCUGUUCCUUCCUCUGGAAGCUUCAUCCCAGAGGGGCACCCGCCAGGUGCCAGCCAGAGCUCUCCUGUACGAGGUGUCUGUCGGCCCCCUACUGGGAGGUAUCUCUCAGUGAGGAUACAUGGGGGGCCAAAGACCCACUUGAGGAGGCAGUCUGUCCUUUAUCAGAGCUCAAACGCCGUGCUGGGAGAUCCGCUGCUGUCUUCAGAGCUAUCAGGCAGGGACGGUUAAGUCUGCUGAAGCUGCUCCCACAGCCGCCUCUUCCCCCAGGUGCUCUGUCCCAGGGAGAUGGGGGUUUUAUCUAUAAGUCCCUGAUUGGGGCUGCUGCCUUUUUUUCAGAGAUGCCCAGCCUAGAGAGGAGGAAUCUAGAGAGGCAGUCUGGCCGCAGUGGCCUUGCUGAGCUGUGGUGGGCUCUGCCCAGUUCAGACUUUCCGGCAGCUUUGUUUACAUUGUGAGGGUAAAACCGCCUACUCAAGCCUCAGCAAUGGCGGAUGCCCCUCCCCCCACCAAGCUCAAGUGUCCCAGGUCGACCUCAGACUGCUGUGCUGGCAGUGAGAAUUUCAAGUCCAUGGAUCUUAGCUUGGUGGGCUCCGUGGGGGUGGGACCCCCCAAGCCAGACCACUUGGCUCCCUGGCUUCAGCCCCCUUUCCAGGGGAGUGAACAGUUCCGUCUUACGGGUGUUCCAGGUGCCACGGGGGUAUGAAAAAAAAACUCCUGCAGCUAGCUCGGUGUCUGCCUAAACGUCCACCCAGUUUUGUGCUUGAAACCCAGGGCCCUGGUGGCGUAGGCACUGGAGGGAAUCUCCUGGUCUGCCGGUUGUGAAGACUGUGGGAAAAGCACAGUAUCUGGGCCAGAGUGCACCGUUCCUCAUGGCACAGUCCCUCACAGCUUCCCUUGGCUAGGGAGGGAAAUCCCCCAACCCCUUGCACUUCCCUGGUGAGGUGACGCCCCACCCUGCUUUCUCUUGCACUCUGUAGGCUGCACCCACUAUCCAACCAAUUCCAGUGAGAUGAAGUGGGUACCUCAGUUGGAAAUGCAGAAAUCACCUGCCUUCUGUGUCGAUCUCGCUGGGAGCCGCAGGCCAGAGCUGUUCCUAUUUGGCCAUCUUGCCAGCAAAUCCCUAAUUUUUGCAUUUUUAAUGGAGAUGAGGUUUCACCAUGUUGGCCACCUGGUCUGGAACUCCUAACCUCAGAUGUCUCUCCUACACAUAUGAUCAAGGAAUUACCACCAAAAGAGAACAAUAGCACAGGAAAAGUAUUCCAAGCAGUGAUGUUGGAAAGACAUGAAAUCCAUGACAUCCAAGAUUUUUACUUCAGAGAAAUGCAGCAAAAUAUUCAUGACUUUGAGUGUCAGUGUCACAAUGAUGAGAGAAAUUACAGAGAAAUACCUGCAAUUAAAAUUAAAAACAUCACUGGAAGAAGAGAUCAAGGUGAUGGAAGGAAUGCAGGAAAUAAGCCAGUUGAAAAUCAGCUUGAACUAAGCUUUUGGUUGCAUCUGGCUGAACUGCAGGGAUUUCAAAUUGAAAGGAAAAUUUAUGAAUGUAAUCAAAUUGAGAAGUCUGUCACCCGUGGGUCCUCAGUUUCAUUACUUCAAACAAAUCUUCCUUGUGUCAACACCAGCAUUUCUAAUAUAUACAGGAAUGAUUUUAUGCAUCCUUCAUUACUCACACAAGACCAGAAAGCAUACAUUAGGGAAAAACCUUACAAAUGUAGUGAUUGUGGCAAGGCCUUUAAUCAGAGGUCCAACCUUACUACACAUCAGAGAAUCCAUACUGGACAGAAACCACAUAAAUGUGACAUAUGUGGCAAAGGUUUCAGGCGAAUUGCAAACCUAGCAAGUCAUCAUAGAAUUCAUACUGGAGAGAAACCUUACAGAUGUAAUGAGUGUGGCAAGACCUUCAAUCAGACGUUCAACCUUACUACACAUCAGAGAAUCCAUACUGGACAGAAACCAUAUAAAUGUGAUAGAUGUGGCAAAGGUUUCAGGCAAAUUGGAAACCUAGCAAGUCAUCAUAGAAUUCAUACUGGAGAGAAACCUUACAGAUGUAACGAGUGUGGCAAGACCUUUAACAGGAUGUUCCACCUUACUAGACAUCAGAGAAUCCAUACUGGACAGAAACCAUAUAAAUGUGAUAUAUGUGGCAAAGGUUUCAGGCAAAUUGCAAACCUAGCAAGUCAUCAUAGAAUUCAUACUGGAGAGAAACCUUACAAAUGUAGUGAUUGUGGCAAGACCUUUAAUUACAGGUCCCACCUUACAAGACAUCAGAGAAUCCAUACUGGACAGAAACCGUAUAAAUGUGAUACAUGUGGCAAAGAUUUCAGUCAAAAUUCAUACCUUGAAAAUCAUCAGAGAAUUCACACUAGAGAGAAAUCUUACAGAUGUAAUGAGUGUGGCAAGACCUUUAAUAAGAUGACCAACCUUACUACACAUCAGAGAAUCCAUACUGGACAGAAAACAUAUAAAUGUGAUAUAUGUGGCAAAGGUUUCAGGCAAAUUGGAAACCUAGCAAGUCAUCAUAGAAUUCAUACUGGAGAGAAACCUUACAGAUGUAAUGAGUGUGGCAAGACCUUCAAUAGGAUGUUCCACCUUACUAGACAUCAGAGAAUCCAUACUGGACAGAAACCAUAUAAAUGUGAUAUAUGUGGCAAAAGUUUCAGUCAAAAUUCAUACCUUGAAAAUCAUCAGAGAAUUCACACUGGAGAGAAAACUUACAAGUUGUAAUUAGUGUGGCAAAGCCUUUAGCGUGCGCUCAAACCUAACUAAACAUCAGGUCAUCCAUAAUGGAGAGAGACCUUAUAAAUGUAAUGAGUGGGACAAGGCUUUUUUUUCAGAGUUCAAAAUUGUAAAACAUCACAGGAUUCAUUCUGGAGAGAAACAAAACAAAAGUAAUGAAUGUAGUAAGGCAUUUAUUCAAAAUUCAAGUCUGGUGGACCAUCAGAGAACUCACACUGGAGAGAAACCUUACAAGUGUAAUGAGUGUGGUAAAACCUUUAUUGGGCAUUCAAGCCUAACUAACCAUCAGGUAAUUCAUACUGGAGAGAAACCUUACAAAUGUAAUGAGUGUGGAAAGGCUUAUGUGAAGUGGUCCCACCUUAGACAUCAUGAGAGUAUUCAAACUGGAGAGAAGCCAUACAAAUGUACCAAAUGCAGCAAGGCCUUUAGACAAUGGGCGGACAUCAGGAUUCACCAAAAAAUCUAUGCUGGAGAGAAACCUCACAAGUAUGAUGAGUGUGGAAAAACCUUUACCCAGGCCUCUCACCUCACUAUACAUCAGAUUAUCCAUACUGGAGAGAAACCAUAUGAAUAUGACAUAUAUGGCAAAGUCUUCAGUCAAAAUUCACAUUUCAAAAGUUAUCAUAGGAUUUGUACUGAAGAGAAGCCUUACAAAUGUGUGUGGCAAGGUCCUCAGUCAAAAUUCACACCUUGUAAAUCAUCAGAGAAUUCAUACUGGAGAGAAAUCCUACAGAUGUCAUGAAUGUGGCAAAGCCUUUACUCAAGGCUCACGCUUCAUUAAUCAUCAGAUAGUUCAUACUGGAGAGAACUUUCCAAAUGUACUGAAUGUAGCAAGGCUUUUAAGAAUGGCCCUAAACUCAGGACUCACCAAAUAGAUCAUACUUGUAAAUGCAAUGAAUGUAGCAGUGUUUUAAAGUAGUGCUUGCUACUCAUUAGAUAAGAGUAUCUAAUAUAUCUUGGGGCAAAGGCACACAAAUGCAAUGUCUGUGACAAGGAUUUUAUCUGAGGAUCAAAAGUUGGGGAACAGAAUAAUUCGUACUGGGGAGAAACCUUAGAAAUCCAAUGAGCAUGGGAAAAACUUUACCAUGAGUUCAAGUACUACAAGACAUCAGAGAGUUCAUAUUGAAGAGAAACCAUGUAAAUAUAAGAUGGAGUCUUGCACUGUCGCCCAGGUUGGAGUGCAUUGGCCCGAUCUUGGCUCACCACAACCUCCGCCUCCUGGAUUCCAGCAAUUCUGCCUCAGCCUCCCAAGUAGCUGGGACUACAGGCGCGUGCCACCACACCCGGUUAAUUUUUUGUAUUUUUUAGUAGAUACGGGGUUUCACCAUAUCGGCCAGGCUGGUCUCGAACUCCUGACCUCGUGAUCUGCCUGCCUCAGCCUCCCAAAGUGCUGGGAUUACAGGCUUGAGCUCCUGCGCCCAGCCCAUGCUAAGUCUUUUACCCAGUGGUCAAAACUGGCACAACACAGGAUUUAUACUGGAGAGCAACCUCACAAAUGUAAUGAAAGUGGUAAGGCUUUUUAUCAAAUGUCCUUGUCUUUGGGGUCAUGAGAAAAUUCAUACAGAAUCUAUUAAAAAUGUACUAAACAUGGAAAGACCUUUAAGCAACAGUGAUGUGAUGAAGGUGGUAGUUUUUUAAAUGAACUCCCAUAAGAGUCUACACACCAUAGAACUCAUACCAGGAAUCACAAAGUCUCUAAAUUUCCAAAGUUAACUGGAAAUAUUACAAACUGCAGAAUAAUUCCAGGCCAAAAUAUGUUAAAUUCAUAACAUGAUGUAUAUCAAAGGAAAAAAGGACAUGUGGAAAUGACACAUUAUCUUCAGUGUAUAAAAUAUUCAUUUAUGUGAAGUUUCUUGGAAAGGCUACACUACUAUUACUGGUUUCCGUCUGAUGUUUGAGAUCUGUUGAUUUUAUGCUUUUCUUACAGGCCUUUCAUUAUGAUCUUUGGGAAGGAAUCAAUAAAAUGAUAGGGCCUACUUCAUUAGGUGUGGUUCAUUCCUAUUCAUGCUCCCUGGAAGAACAAGAAUGCUGAAUUUUGAAAUUUAAUAUUGUAUGAAUUAGCAUCAGGGAGAGGUGGAGAAAAAUACAAAACUAAAAGUCAUGCUUAUUGUGUUCAGUGUGCCCUUCUCCAGAGGGCCACUGGCUUAUAGGAAAGGAUUGCUGCUCUACCAGUUGACCAGGAGAUGGCACGCCAGGACAUUAAGACACUGGAGUUUUGUUUCGUUUUUUUUUUUUUUUUGAGAUGGAGUCUCGCUCUCUUGACAGGCAGGAGUACAGUGGUGCGAUCUCGGCUCACUGCAAACUCCGCCUCCCGGGUUCAAGUGAUUCUCCUGCCUCAGCCUCCCGAGUAGCUGGGACUACAGGCGUGUGCCACCACCCCCAGCUAACUUUUGUAUUUUUAGUAGAGACAGGGUUUCACCAUGUUAGCCAGGAUGGUCUCAAUCUCUUGACCUCAUGAUCCGCCCGCCUCCGCCUUCCAAAGUGCUGGGAUUACAGGCGUGAGCCAGUGUGCCCGGCCGACACUGGGCUUUUUAUGAGAGUGACAGAUUACUAGGACCUCAUUAUGUGGUAGAAGUAAUGUAGGGGAAAUGGCGAUUAUCUUUUUUUAAAAGCAAUAGCUGUUGUAUAUCAAUGAUAAAUGAAAAAUUAGUUAUUCUUGUAAAUUGAAGAAAGAAUGGUUAUCAUAGAGGGUAGUUCAAGUAAAAGAACCAGGGCUGGGUGUGGUGGCUCACGUUCUGUAAUCCCUGUACUUUGGGAGGCCAAGGCAGAUGGAUCUCUUGAGGCCAGGAGUUCGAGACCAGCCUGACCAACAUGGCAAAACCGUGUCUCUACAAAAAAUACAAAAAUUAGCCGGACAUCGUGGUAGAUGCCUGUAAUCUCAGAUAUUCAGGAGACCGAGGGGAAAAUCACUUGAACCCGGGAGACGGAGGUUGCAGUGAGCUGAGAUCGCACCACUGCUCGCCAGCCUGGGCAACAGAGUGAGACUCUGCCUCAAAAAAAAACCAAACCAAACCAAAGAACCAGAAUAGCAUGUGCACAUAUACACAGACGUUUCACAACUGGCAUUAUGUUUUGCUACUGUUUUAUUUACAAUGUAUCACAAGUUUUAUGCUUUAAUAAAAUUUAAUCAUAACUUCUAAUGAAUCAUGUUUCUUCUGCCACCACAGUUUUAUCUCACCUCAGUUGGGUAUUUCAUAACAGAUAGUAAUAGUGCACCAUUAGGCUCUCUAGGUUGAAGGAGUCUUGCAGGGGAACAUGAGGUUUGUGCUUUAACUGUGGCAACUGACAUCCAGUAUCCUCCCCUUUAAUUUGUUCUCAUCCAAAACUAAUCCAUCUGUUUUUCUUUAAUAAGUGAUUUUUCAAGUUUGCACUUACUUUUUCCUUUACAUUACACUUUAAGUAAGAGUCACUGUUAUUAGUGCUUUAUGUGUAAUAACAACCUGUGAGAUAAGUACUGAUGUUAUUCACAUAUCACAAACGAGGAAACUUAGGGCCAAGAUGCUUUAAGGACUCAUCCACAUCCCUGUAAGUGGGUGAAUCAGGAUUCACGUUUGGCUGCAAAGAUGAGUGAUAUAGUUUGGAUCUGUGUCCCUGCCCAGAUUUCCUGUCAAAUGGUAAUCCCCAGUGUUGGAGGUGGGACCUGAUGGGAGGUGAUUGGAUCAUGGGGGCAGAUUCCCCUGUGGUGCCGUUCUUGUGAUGGUGAGUUCUCAUGAGAUCUGGUUGUGUAAAAGUGUGUGGCACCUCCCCCUCUCUCUCUUCCUUCUGCUCUGGUCAUGUGAAGUGCCUGCUCCCACUUUGCCUUCCGCAAUCAUUCUAAGUUUCCUGAGGCCUACUCAGGAGCUGAGCAGAUGCCAGCAUCAUACUUCCUGUACAGCAUGCAGAACUGUGGCCAAUUAAACCUCUUUUCUUCAUAAAUUACCCAAUAUCAGGUAUUUACCCAAUAUCAGGUAUUUCUUCAUAGCAGUGCAAGAAUGGACCAAUACAAUGAAUGUGUUAACCAUGGCGAUCCACUAACAUGGCUAGUUUUCUUUUCUUUCU
Molecule: long non-coding RNA, 11758 nt
Filed under: Homo sapiens (human)
Lineage: Eukaryota; Metazoa; Chordata; Mammalia; Primates; Hominidae
Description: non-protein coding lnc-VN1R2-5:11
Source: RNAcentral